RNAcentral lists this non-coding RNA (30 nucleotides) under Homo sapiens (human). Lineage: Eukaryota; Metazoa; Chordata; Mammalia; Primates; Hominidae. The record is from RNAcentral.
GGCGCGAGCCUGCGUUUUCCGGCCAGAGGA